GACGAACGCUGGCGGCGUGCUUAACACAUGCAAGUCGAGCGGAAAGGCCCUUUCGGGGGUACUCGAGCGGCGAACGGGUGAGUAACACGUGAGUAAUCUGCCCUUGGCUUUGGGAUAACUACCGGAAACGGUGGCUAAUACCGGAUACGACGCACUCAGGCAUCUGAUGUGUGUGGAAAGUUUUUUCGGCCAGGGAUGUGCUCGCGGCCUAUCAGCUUGUUGGUGGGGUAAUGGCCUACCAAGGCUUCGACGGGUAGCCGGCCUGAGAGGGUGACCGGCCACACUGGGACUGAGACACGGCCCAGACUCCUACGGGAGGCAGCAGUGGGGAAUAUUGGACAAUGGGCGGAAGCCUGAUCCAGCAACGCCGCGCGAGGGAUGACGGCCUCGG
This 391-nucleotide ribosomal RNA is filed under the name uncultured bacterium. RNAcentral's name for it is "bacterial SSU rRNA". It matches the Rfam family "Bacterial small subunit ribosomal RNA", at positions 28 to 420 of the family's 1533-position model. The record is from RNAcentral.